RNAcentral lists this ribosomal RNA (508 nucleotides) under uncultured bacterium. RNAcentral describes it as "partial 16S ribosomal RNA". It matches the Rfam family "Bacterial small subunit ribosomal RNA", at positions 28 to 523 of the family's 1533-position model. The record is from RNAcentral.
GAUGAACGCUAGCUACAGGCUUAACACAUGCAAGUCGAGGGGCAGCGGUAUCGAAAGCUUGCUUUCGGUAGCCGGCGACCGGCGCACGGGUGAGUAACGCGUAUCGAACCUGCCUCAUACUCGGGAAUAGCCUUGCGAAAGUAAGAUUAAUGCCCGGUGUUUUCAGAGUCCCGCAUGAGGCUUUGAACAAAGAUUUAUCGGUAUGAGAUGGCGAUGCGUCCCAUUAGCUUGUUGGCGGGGUAACGGCCCACCAAGGCAUCGAUGGGUAGGGGUUCUGAGAGGAAGGUCCCCCACAUGGGAACUGAGACACGGUCCAAACUCCUACGGGAGGCAGCAGUGAGGAAUAUUGGUCAAUGGGCGGAAGCCUGAACCAGCCAAGUAGCGUGCAGGAAGACGGCCCUCCGGGUUGUAAACUGCUUUUAGUUGGGAAUAAAACGGGGCUCGUGAGCCCCCUUGCAUGUACCAUCAGAAAAAGGGCCGGCUAAUUCCGUGCCAGCCGCCGCCGUAA